This 765-nucleotide long non-coding RNA is filed under the name Camelus dromedarius (Arabian camel). RNAcentral describes it as "lncRNA (ENSCDRG00005015371.1)". The record is from RNAcentral. Lineage: Eukaryota; Metazoa; Chordata; Mammalia; Artiodactyla; Camelidae.
GAAAUAUGACUGACCGUCACCCAUAGCAGCUGAGAGCCUCCAUCUUACUGUUUGCAUCACCAAAGAGGAAGCAGCCUUCUUUCUCAGAGUUUGAAAAGACAUCACUGAAGGACUGUGAUGGACCCUUCUUGGUUAAGGUGCCUUCCCUUAAAUUAAUGAAGCAAAUCGGGAGGGAAGGUACUAUGGCUUGCCAGGCUCAGAUUGGCUCCCAUUAACUGUGGGCAGGAUCCAGGAUCACACAGCAGUAGGAAUCGUAUAGCUGGGAGAAGAGAGUCCAGGGUGUACAGAGGAAGGAAGAGGAAGCAGUUCCCAAAGAAGAUGAGAAAACUGAGGCACAAAUUGCUUAAGAAAAAUAGCUCAAAAAUGGCCAAUUCAAACCCAAGCAGUCGGUUCUACAUCACUCACAGUCCCAACAGUUGGCAGGUGAGAAGAUCAAGGCCCAGAGAAAAAGAGGAAAGUCCCCAUGUUCCUGUGCAUCAGGGUCUCCUCUCCACUCCCCGUAUCAGCGAUCUUUCUCACCCUGCCACUGCCUCCCGUGUCGUAACAGUUCAGAGGACACUGAAGGCUGGGAGGUGCCGGAAAAGCAGAGCUGGAAGGGCACAGAGAGAUCCCAUCUCCUGCCACUGUACAGACAGUGAGACUCGCCUUAGGUCACAGGACGAGUCAGUGUUGGAGACAGGACCAGAGCUCUCACCUCACCGUGUGAGCUGUGACCAGACUCUCCCAGCUGUGCUGCCUCCCUCACUCUUGAGGUCUCAGAGGUAG